AUACGUAGGUGGCAAGCGUUGUCCGGAAUAACUGGGCGUAAAGCGCAUGUAGACGGCAUGAUAAGCCAAAUGUGAAAUGUAGGGGCUCAACCCCUACACUGCGAUUGGAACUGUCAAGCUUGAGUGCAGGAGAGGCAAAUGGAAUUCCCAGUGUAGCAGUGAAAUGCGUAGAGAUUGGGAGGAACACCAGUGGCGAAGGCGAUUUGCUGGACUGCAACUGACGUUGAGAUGCGAAAGCCAGGGGAGCAAACGGGAUUAGAUACCCCGGUAGUCCUGGCCGUAAACGAUGGAUACUAGGUGUAGAGGGUAUCGACCCCUUCUGUGCCGCAGUGAACGCAAUAAGUAUCCCGCCUGGGGAGUACGGUCGCAAGACUGAA
RNAcentral lists this ribosomal RNA (377 nucleotides) under uncultured bacterium. RNAcentral's name for it is "bacterial SSU rRNA". It matches the Rfam family "Bacterial small subunit ribosomal RNA", at positions 523 to 898 of the family's 1533-position model. The record is from RNAcentral.